Ornithodoros turicata is the source of this 496-nucleotide long non-coding RNA. RefSeq lists it as uncharacterized. The transcript has 3 exons. The record is from RefSeq and is a predicted model, not a curated record. NCBI's taxonomy places the organism in Eukaryota, Metazoa, Arthropoda, Arachnida, Ixodida, Argasidae.
GCCUCGUCGUUUCGAGUACAUCGUGACCUCUUGGUCCACAUCCGUCCCCUCUUCGGGUUUACAGUAAUCGCAGUCGUGAAACUGUUUUUCCAAUUGACACCAGCGUCGGGAUGUGAUGUGCCCCGCAUGGACGUUCUUUCAGUGCUUCACGUUCAGUGAGGACGUCGAAAUUUUGGGACGCAACGGUGCGUGUGUUCAUGGGGUAUUGCGUGACUUUUUUUAGACUCGCGCGGAACUUAGAGGCAGAGCUCUGUUUUGAAGAUACUCUACCACUAAGUUUUGGGGCCGCGGAGCACCUCCUGUGGUCCCUCACUACUCACUGGAGCCACUGCGGGAUGGAGAAACAUCCUCGAUCGGUGGAUGCGCACACAAAUCCCACACGACCGCUGGAUCCUCGAAGAACCUGAGGAGGAGGAGACGUCGACCAGGUCGAGUAAAUGUAUAUAUGAAUACAUAUGUAAAUAUAAGUAUAUGUAUCUGCUUAAUAAAGAUUAUC